This 253-nucleotide ribosomal RNA is filed under the name uncultured bacterium. RNAcentral describes it as "partial 16S ribosomal RNA". It matches the Rfam family "Bacterial small subunit ribosomal RNA", at positions 524 to 776 of the family's 1533-position model. The record is from RNAcentral.
UACGUAGGGUGCGAGCGUUGUCCGGAAUUAUUGGGCGUAAAGGGCUCGUAGGCGGUUUGUCGCGUCAGGAGUGAAAACUCGGGGCUUAACCCCGAGCCUGCUUCUGAUACGGGCAGACUAGAGGUAUGCAGGGGAGAACGGAAUUCCUGGUGUAGCGGUGAAAUGCGCAGAUAUCAGGAGGAACACCGAUGGCGAAGGCAGGUCUCUGGGCCACUACUGACGCUGAGAAGCGAAAGCAUGGGGAGCGAACAGG